Molecule: long non-coding RNA, 1897 nt
Organism: Brassica napus (rape)
Lineage: Eukaryota; Viridiplantae; Streptophyta; Magnoliopsida; Brassicales; Brassicaceae
Exons: 6
Source: RefSeq, a predicted model, not a curated record
AAAAUUAACAUGGCCAUGUGGAGCCCGACAAUUACAAUUCAACUUCUCAAUUCUCUGUGAUCGACUAAUCCACUAUAUCUUCUAUCUCUGUAACCCCCUCUUAAUCAAUGUUCUUUUUUGUCCAAAAAAAAAAUCAAUGUUCUUUUUAUACCUUCUGGCUGGUUUCGUUCCACCUUACGUUCAUCCUCCUCCUAUAUAAAUGGCUUCGUCUAAACCUAAAUCCUAUCAAAAUCGAAACCUAGCAGUAAGAUCAACUGAAACCACUAAUCACCGUAGAGCUCCUUCUGAUCGAUGAGCAGCCUCUGAGCAAUAAUAUUUUAAACGAUGGAGAUGACCACAAUCUCUAGUGUGGAAUUGGAAGAGGAUAAUUUUGGAGGAAGCUUAAGGUAUCAAGGGGCUGCCACUCGCCUAAUAGAUGCAUGUUGGACUCACGUUAUGUACUUUGAAAGUAAGCUUUAUCUCUCCCUCUCUUGAGUUUUAGUUUGUCUCAUACUCCUGGUUUCUUUAUCCACUUACGGACGAUUCACAAAUUCUCUGUGAGCUUAUCAGAUAGACUCAACACCGAAAGAUACACCUCUAAUUUGGUGUUGCUUUGUUUUAAUCCUCAAUCUAGAAUUUUGCACUACCUUACAUGUUCUAAGUAAGCUUUUUUUUAAUAAAUAAAUAUCUUAUUCGUUUAACUACAAGUGAAACAAUAGAAUUACAAAGAUUAAGUGAUUGUGAAUAGAUGGCUAAUAUAUAUAGUGAUAUGUAUUCCUGUGAAACUGUUUGGUGUCACUUUGUCCCCCUUUGACAGGAAAGAUUGAAUGGCACUUUCCACUUUUAUCUUCUAGGUCCCUGAAUCUACGAUCACACUUUGAUGGUCUAAUUAUCUUACUGCAAAAUUGAAUUAUUCCAGCUUUGAUUUACUUUGUAUAUGUUGUGUUAUGUUUCAUGGCUUUCUAUGCUUGAACGUGCAUUCUAUCAAUCAUAUUGACUUAUUUUCCUGUCUGAAAAUAUUUUUCUACAUUAUUUUUCUUAUGGAUUGGCUUCCUACUUCUUCAGGGAGGAGUAUAUUUUAAGUGGCUCACAAUAUAAAAAAAACUCCCUCAGAAAAUGUUUCAGGUACUGCAGAUGUUAAAUUUCAGCUAAUGCAUUUGUACGCGGCUAAAGUGAGAGUGACUUUGUUUUUCCUUCUCCUGAGUCUCCCAAGGUUUGGGAUUUUUUUUGCAUAAAAUGGGUAGAGGGAGAUGAAAGUAGCGUAGAAGAUAUUGCAGGGCACAUGAAGAAAAAUAACAUAUUUGGAUUGACGAGUGAAGACAUUUUAUUGGUAAAAUCAAAUUCAGCAUCAAUUCAACGUUCAUGAGAGAGAGGCAUACAAAGUAGCUAAAAAAAUAUUGACCAAGGUGAAGUUGUUGAACCAGACAAGGUUUCCUAUGGACUAAUGGAAAAGGGUUGAUUUGAUGGUCUGAUAACAAUAUCUCAAGAAAGAGAAUGACGAUGUGGAUGUCAAAUUUGGUAAAGGCUGGCUGCUUCUUUACAGGAUUGACAUAGAAAGGUCACACAUGAUGAAGUUGCAGCUGCCGCGAUGUACGAUCAUUCAGAUUCAAUCGUGUUUCAGUGGUGUUGCUGUGUGAAUGGUGAUGGAAUAUGCAGACAAUAUUGUAUAUUUGAUAAACUGGCAAAUACAUAUUCAAUUCGCCAGCAGAUCCUUGAGCAGUAGUUCAUUUUUGUACAUGGAAUUUAAUCUUUAUCAGUCUGUAUCUAGGUUUAUUUCACAUAGUGGAACUGCUUAUCACUGCAGUUCUCUCUAUUGUCUAUGUAUACUUAUUCAGUUUUCAUGUAUCCUUAGCUUUCUACCUGGAUUCAAGUAAGUUAACCGCAUUUUCCUCUGUCAAUACAAUUCACAUUUUACUCA